Molecule: ribosomal RNA, 250 nt
Filed under: uncultured bacterium
Lineage: Bacteria
Description: partial 16S ribosomal RNA
Rfam family: Bacterial small subunit ribosomal RNA
Source: RNAcentral
UACGUAGGGUGCAAGCGUUAAUCGGAAUUACUGGGCGUAAAGCGUGCGCAGGCGGUGAUGUAAGACCGAUGUGAAAUCCCCGGGCUUAACCUGGGAACUGCAUUGGUGACUGGCAGGCUUUGAGUGUGGCAGAGGGAGGUAGAAUUCCACGUGUAGCAGUGAAAUGCGUAGAGAUGUGGAGGAAUACCGAUGGCGAAGGCAGCCUCCUGGGCCAACACUGACGCUCAUGCACGAAAGCGUGGGGAGCAAA